This 135-nucleotide ribosomal RNA is filed under the name uncultured eukaryote. RNAcentral describes it as "partial 18S ribosomal RNA". It matches the Rfam family "Eukaryotic small subunit ribosomal RNA", at positions 1299 to 1458 of the family's 1831-position model. The record is from RNAcentral.
UCGUGGAAUGAUUUGUCUGGUUAAUUCCGUUAACGAACGAGACUUUAACUUGCUAGUUGGAAUACAUGCUGUUCUGCAUGAAUUCCUCUAGAAGGACCAUGUGUAUCUAACACAAGGAAGCGUGAAGCAAUAACA